GGGUGACGUAACACGUGGAUAACCUACCUAUAAGACUGGGAUAACUUCGGGAAACCGGAGCUAAUACCGGAUAAUAUUUUGAACCGCAUGGUUCAAAAGUGAAAGACGGUCUUGCUGUCACUUAUAGAUGGAUCCGCGCUGCAUUAGCUAGUUGGUAAGGUAACGGCUUACCAAGGCAACGAUGCAUAGCCGACCUGAGAGGGUGAUCGGCCACACUGGAACUGAGACACGGUCCAG
RNAcentral lists this ribosomal RNA (237 nucleotides) under uncultured Staphylococcus sp. RNAcentral's name for it is "partial 16S ribosomal RNA". It matches the Rfam family "Bacterial small subunit ribosomal RNA", at positions 104 to 334 of the family's 1533-position model. Lineage: Bacteria; Bacillati; Bacillota; Bacilli; Caryophanales; Staphylococcaceae. The record is from RNAcentral.